AAUCGCUGUGUAAUAUGACUCAUAACUCUCUGAUUGGUGGAUUACCAAUCAGAGAGUUAUGAGUCAUAUUACACAGCGUGGGAA
Pelobates cultripes (western spadefoot toad) is the source of this 84-nucleotide non-coding RNA. The record is from the annotation of a GenBank genome assembly. NCBI's taxonomy places the organism in Eukaryota, Metazoa, Chordata, Amphibia, Anura, Pelobatidae.